RNAcentral lists this ribosomal RNA (371 nucleotides) under uncultured organism. RNAcentral describes it as "partial 16S ribosomal RNA". It matches the Rfam family "Bacterial small subunit ribosomal RNA", at positions 527 to 896 of the family's 1533-position model. The record is from RNAcentral.
GUAGGUGGCAAGCGUUGUCCGGAAUUAUUGGGCGUAAAGCGCGCGCAGGCGGUUCUUUAAGUCUGAUGUGAAAGCCCACGGCUCAACCGUGGAGGGUCAUAGGAAACUGGAGAACUUGAGUACAGAAGAGGAAAGCGGAAUUCCACGUGUAGCGGUGAAAUGCGUAGAGAUGUGGAGGAACACCAGUGGCGAAGGCGGCUUUCUGGUCUGUAACUGACGCUGAGGCGCGAAAGCGUGGGGGAGCAAACAGGAUUAGAUACCCUGGUAGUCCACGCCGUAAACGAUGAGUGCUAAGUGUUAGGGGGUUUCCGCCCCUUAGUGCUGCAGCUAACGCAUUAAGCACUCCGCCUGGGAGUACGGCCGCAAGGCUG